RNAcentral lists this long non-coding RNA (1164 nucleotides) under Homo sapiens (human). RNAcentral describes it as "novel transcript". The record is from RNAcentral. Lineage: Eukaryota; Metazoa; Chordata; Mammalia; Primates; Hominidae.
CUUCCUGCUCAGGCCAGCUCGAAGUGUGCUUCCUGCAGUUGGCCCUGUGCUGUCCAGAAGCCAGAUGCAGACAACCUGAGGGCCGAACGACCCUGAGGCUGUUUGUCCUACUGAAGAGCACCUGUAUUUCUGUUUUCUCUGGACAGCACAAUCAUCCUGACUAGCUUUUCAUCGGUGAUCUCAAUAGAGAAACCAAUGAAAAGUUGCUUAAAGCAGUAUUUGUGAAACACGGUCCCAUACCAGAAGUUCUUUUGAUAAAGGAUCAAACCAGCAAAUCCAGAGGCUUUGCAUUUAUUACUUUUGAAAACCCUGCAGAUGCUAAGAAUGCCAAAGAUAUGAAUAGAAAAUCUUUGCAUGGAAAAGCAAUAAAAGUAGAACAAGCCAAGAAACCAUCUUUUCAAAGUGGUGGUAGACGGAGACCACCAGCUUCUUCGAGAAACAGAAGCCCUUCAGGAAGUCUGAGAUCUGCAAGAGGAAGCAGUGGAGGAACAAGAGGGUGGCUUCCCUCACAUGAAGGACACCUGGGGGACCCAUUCCAGCUAAAAAGUUCCAUCUUCAAGACGUGGAGGUCUUCCUCCUAAGAAAUCUGUUCCUUCUGCUGUGGCAAGAAGCAACAGUGGUAUGGGAGGCCAAGAAAUCAUCCAAGUUCCGGAGAAACCAGGGAUUAUGCUCCACCACCUAGAGACUAUGCAUAUCGUGAUUAUGGUCAUUCUAUUCAGGAUGAACAUUCCUCUAGAGGAUAUAGUUACCGUGAUGGCUACUGUGAGGCCUAUGGUAGAGAUUAUUCUGAACAUACAAGUGGAAGUUCUUACAGAGAUGCAUUUCAGAGAUAUGGCUGGAGUACAAUGGGACAAUCUCAGUUCACCACAACCUCUGCUUCCUGGGUUCAAGAGAUUCUCCUGCCUCAGUCUAUGGAGUUAUCUGCGAUUACAGACAUGCACCACAAUGCCCAGUGAUAUAGAGAAAUGACAUGGGAGAUGGCCUCCAUUUUUCCCAUUGUACGACUUCCUGAAGGGCUCCUGUUUCUCCAAGAAGAUGGUGAUCUCCACAUUACCACCACUUUGAAAAGACGGUUUGUUAACUUGUUCUACUUUCAUUGCUUUUCCAUCCAAAAACUAAAAGUAUUAAGUAUCCUAUCAAUAAAGUUGUCACAUUUAACCUAAA